Molecule: ribosomal RNA, 941 nt
Filed under: Klebsiella pneumoniae
Lineage: Bacteria; Pseudomonadati; Pseudomonadota; Gammaproteobacteria; Enterobacterales; Enterobacteriaceae
Description: bacterial SSU rRNA
Rfam family: Bacterial small subunit ribosomal RNA
Source: RNAcentral
GAUGUGAAAUCCCCGGGCUCAACCUGGGAACUGCAUUCGAAACUGGCAGGCUAGAGUCUUGUAGAGGGGGGUAGAAUUCCAGGUGUAGCGGUGAAAUGCGUAGAGAUCUGGAGGAAUACCGGUGGCGAAGGCGGCCCCCUGGACAAAGACUGACGCUCAGGUGCGAAAGCGUGGGGAGCAAACAGGAUUAGAUACCCUGGUAGUCCACGCCGUAAACGAUGUCGAUUUGGAGGUUGUGCCCUUGAGGCGUGGCUUCCGGAGCUAACGCGUUAAAUCGACCGCCUGGGGAGUACGGCCGCAAGGUUAAAACUCAAAUGAAUUGACGGGGGCCCGCACAAGCGGUGGAGCAUGUGGUUUAAUUCGAUGCAACGCGAAGAACCUUACCUGGUCUUGACAUCCACAGAACUUAGCAGAGAUGCUUUGGUGCCUUCGGGAACUGUGAGACAGGUGCUGCAUGGCUGUCGUCAGCUCGUGUUGUGAAAUGUUGGGUUAAGUCCCGCAACGAGCGCAACCCUUAUCCUUUGUUGCCAGCGGUUAGGCCGGGAACUCAAAGGAGACUGCCAGUGAUAAACUGGAGGAAGGUGGGGAUGACGUCAAGUCAUCAUGGCCCUUACGACCAGGGCUACACACGUGCUACAAUGGCAUAUACAAAGAGAAGCGACCUCGCGAGAGCAAGCGGACCUCAUAAAGUAUGUCGUAGUCCGGAUUGGAGUCUGCAACUCGACUCCAUGAAGUCGGAAUCGCUAGUAAUCGUAGAUCAGAAUGCUACGGUGAAUACGUUCCCGGGCCUUGUACACACCGCCCGUCACACCAUGGGAGUGGGUUGCAAAAGAAGUAGGUAGCUUAACCUUCGGGAGGGCGCUUACCACUUUGUGAUUCAUGACUGGGGUGAAGUCGUAACAAGGUAACCGUAGGGGAACCUGCGGUUGGAUCACCUCCUU